GACGAACGCUGGCGGCGUGCCUAAUACAUGCAAGUAGAACGCUGAAGAGAGGAGCUUGCUCUUCUUGGAUGAGUUGCGAACGGGUGAGUAACGCGUAGGUAACCUGCCUUGUAGCGGGGGAUAACUAUUGGAAACGAUAGCUAAUACCGCAUAACAAUGGAUGACACAUGUCAUUUAUUUGAAAGGGGCAAUUGCUCCACUACAAGAUGGACCUGCGUUGUAUUAGCUAGUAGGUGAGGUAAUGGCUCACCUAGGCGACGAUACAUAGCCGACCUGAGAGGGUGAUCGGCCACACUGGGACUGAGACACGGCCCAGACUCCUACGGGGGGCAGCAGUAGGGAAUCUUCGGCAAUGGGGGCAACCCUGACCGAGCAACGCCGCGUGAGUGAAGAAGGUUUUCGGAUCGUAAAGCUCUGUUGUAAGUCAAGAACGGGUGUGAGAGUGGAAAGUUCACACUGUGACGGUAGCUUACCAGAAAGGGACGGCUAACUACGUG
Molecule: ribosomal RNA, 497 nt
Filed under: uncultured bacterium
Lineage: Bacteria
Description: partial 16S ribosomal RNA
Rfam family: Bacterial small subunit ribosomal RNA
Source: RNAcentral